GACGAACCGUGCGAACGUUGUUCGGAAUCACUGGGCUUAAAGGGCGCGUAGGCGGGCCACCAAGUCCGGGGUGAAAUCUUUCGGCUCAACCGGAAAAGGGCCUCGGAUACUGGUGGCCUCGAGGAAGGUAGGGGCAUGCGGAACUUCCGGUGGAGCGGUGAAAUGCGUUGAUAUCGGAAGGAACGCCGGUGGCGAAAGCGGCGUGCUGGACCUUUGCUGACGCUGAUGCGCGAAAGCCAGGG
This 242-nucleotide ribosomal RNA is filed under the name uncultured bacterium. RNAcentral's name for it is "partial 16S ribosomal RNA". It matches the Rfam family "Bacterial small subunit ribosomal RNA", at positions 524 to 765 of the family's 1533-position model. The record is from RNAcentral.